This 459-nucleotide unclassified non-coding RNA is filed under the name Fusarium solani. Its description in RNAcentral is "sequence contains ITS1, 5.8S rRNA gene, ITS2". The stretch from base 82 to 235 matches the Rfam family "5.8S ribosomal RNA". The record is from RNAcentral. Lineage: Eukaryota; Fungi; Ascomycota; Sordariomycetes; Hypocreales; Nectriaceae.
AAAACGGGCCGCCCCCGCCAGAGGACCCUUAACUCUGUUUCUUAUAAUGUUUCUUCUGAGUAAAACAAGCAAAUAAAUUAAAACUUUCAACAACGGAUCUCUUGGCUCUGGCAUCGAUGAAGAACGCAGCGAAAUGCGAUAAGUAAUGUGAAUUGCAGAAUUCAGUGAAUCAUCGAAUCUUUGAACGCACAUUGCGCCCGCCAGUAUUCUGGCGGGCAUGCCUGUUCGAGCGUCAUUACAACCCUCAGGCCCCCGGGCCUGGCGUUGGGGAUCGGCGGAGCGCCCCUCGUGGGCGCACGCCGUCCCCCAAAUACAGUGGCGGUCCCGCCGCAGCUUCCAUCGCGUAGUAGCUAACACCUCGCGACUGGAGAGCGGCGCGGCCACGCCGUAAAACACCCCAACUCUUCUGAAGUUGACCUCGAAUCAGGUAGGAAUACCCGCUGAACUUAAGCAUAUCAA